AUAAUACUGGAUAGGCAAUUAUUCCUGUAAUGGUUUUUUGUUUAAAUGUUUUUUCGCCUAAGGAUGGGUCUGCGGCCGAUUAGGUAGUUGGUUAGGUAAUGGCUUACCAAGCCUUUGAUCGGUACGGGUUGUGAGAGCAAGAGCCCGGAGAUGGAACCUGAGACAAGGUUCCAGGCCCUACGGGGUGCAGCAGGCGCGAAACCUCCGCAAUGUGAGAAAUCGCGACGGGGGGAUCCCAAGUGCCAUUCUUAACGGGAUGGCUUUUCUUUAGUGUAAAAAGCUUUUGGAAUAAGAGCUGGGCAAGACCGGUGCCAGCCGCCGCGGUAACACCGGCAGCUCUAGUGGUAGCAAUUUUUAUUGGGCCUAAAGCGUCCGUAGCCGGUUUAAUAAGUCUCUGGUGAAAUCCUGUAGCUUAACUGUGGGAAUUGCUGGAGAUACUAUUAAACUUGAGACCGGGAGAGGUUAGAGGUACUCCCAGGGUAGAGGUGAAAUUCUGUAAUCCUGGGAGGACCGCCUGUUGCGAAGGCGUCUAACUGGAACGGUUCUGACGGUGAGGGACGAAAGUUAGGGGCGCGAACCGGAUUAGAUACCCGGGUUGUCCUAACUGUAAACGAUGCGGACUUGGUGU
Molecule: ribosomal RNA, 628 nt
Filed under: uncultured archaeon
Lineage: Archaea
Description: bacterial SSU rRNA
Rfam family: Archaeal small subunit ribosomal RNA
Source: RNAcentral